UUUUUGGAGAGUUUGAUCCUGGCUCAGGACGAACGCUGGCGGCGUGCCUAAUACAUGCAAGUCGAGCGAACUUGAUGAGAGCUGGCUCCCUGAUAGUUAGCGGCGGACGGGUGAGUAACACGUGGGUAACCUGCCUGUAAGACUGGGAUAACUCCGGGAAACCGGGGCUAAUACCGGAUAACUUUUUUCUUCGCAUGAAGGAGAAUUGAAAGAUGGCUCCGGCUAUCACUUACAGAUGGACCCGCGGCGCAUUAGCUAGUUGGUGAGGUAACGGCUCACCAAGGCGACGAUGCGUAGCCGACUUGAGAGGGUGAUCGGCCACACUGGGACUGAGACACGGCCCAGACUCCUAC
This 353-nucleotide ribosomal RNA is filed under the name Heyndrickxia sporothermodurans. RNAcentral describes it as "bacterial SSU rRNA". It matches the Rfam family "Bacterial small subunit ribosomal RNA", at positions 1 to 342 of the family's 1533-position model. Lineage: Bacteria; Bacillati; Bacillota; Bacilli; Caryophanales; Bacillaceae. The record is from RNAcentral.